Non-coding RNA from Imleria badia, 81 nucleotides. The record is from the annotation of a GenBank genome assembly. NCBI's taxonomy places the organism in Eukaryota, Fungi, Basidiomycota, Agaricomycetes, Boletales, Boletaceae.
GGGCACUUGGCACAGUUGGUAGCGCGCACGCUUCGCAAUAAAGACUGCGUGAGGUCGUGGGUUCAACUCCCACAGUGUCCA